CCCAAUUCAACUAAAUAGUUUCUUAUCCACAUAGAUGCUUCUGUGUUUGGAUUGGGAGUAAUGCUGAGCCAGGUCGGGGACGAUGGCGCAGAACAACUGGUAGCUUACCUCAGCCGAAAACUACUAAACCAGGAGGUGAGCUACGCCGCCAUUGAAAAGGAAUGCUUUGCGGUGGUGUGGGCCAUAAAGAAGCUGCAGCCCUACAUCUACGGACAACAGUUUACUUUGAAAAACAGAAAGAGAGAGGGAGACACACAAAGUGUGAGUCCCAUUAGACUACCAUUUAUCUUUAAACCACCUAUCAAGAAUAGAACAUAGAAC
Non-coding RNA from Pelobates cultripes (western spadefoot toad), 321 nucleotides. Lineage: Eukaryota; Metazoa; Chordata; Amphibia; Anura; Pelobatidae. The record is from the annotation of a GenBank genome assembly.